Molecule: ribosomal RNA, 486 nt
Filed under: uncultured bacterium
Lineage: Bacteria
Description: partial 16S ribosomal RNA
Rfam family: Bacterial small subunit ribosomal RNA
Source: RNAcentral
GAUGAACGCUGGCGGCGUGCUUAACACAUGCAAGUCGAACGAAGCACUUUGAAACUUUCGGGUUUCAAAGUGACUGAGUGGCGGACGGGUGAGUAACGCGUGGGUAACCUGCCUUAUACAGGGGGAUAACAGUUAGAAAUGACUGCUAAUACCGCAUAACCCGCUAGGGUCACAUGACCUAGACGGAAAAGAUUUAUCGGUAUAAGAUGGAACAGCGUCUGAUUAGCUAGUUGGUGAGGUAAUGGCCCACCAGGGCGACGAUCAGUAGCCGGCUUGAGAGGGUGAACGGCCAAACUGGGACUGAGACACGGCCCAAACUCCUACGGUAGGCAGCAGUGGGGAAUAUUGCACAAUGGGGAAACCCUGAUGCAGCAACGCCGCGUGAAGGAAGAAGUAUUUCGGUAUGUGAACUUCUAUCAGCAGGGAAGAAAAUGACGGUACCUGACUAAGAAGCCCCGGCUAACUACGUGCCAGCAGCCGCCGCGG